UGCUAAAAGGCAAGGCAAGGACGAAUAAACUUUUUAAAACCAAAAAAACCUCGUGUUUCAGUGCUGACUUAUAUGUAAGAUGGUGUGAAAGAUUAUGGAAAAAUGUCGUUUAAUACUUCAACUUUCAAAUUGUGGCCAUUUUAUACCUCAACUUUACAUGCGGCCAUUUUAAACAUGAAGAUAUCGUUGACCAACUGUUUAAACUAUAAACAUUCGUUGACCAGACCAAAAAAACUAACCGUUAACAGUCGUUAACUGAUUAUCUAACGUCUGUUAACAUCUCCGUUAGCCACCUUUAAACGAUGUCGUUUUCAUCUUUUAAAAUUGAUUGACGAACGUAGGAUUCGAACCCACAACCUGCGACAAGAACAAGACCCUUACUUAACCAUCUCACCUAUUGUAUUUGAUAGGUAACCUUACGAAACAAAUAUAAUUAUAUAGUUUUAAAAGCUUUCUUCUUCAUCUUUAACCUACAUCUUUAAUCUACGAAAUCUGGGUUCUCUCUCAGAUGAUUUAUUUUAUAGUAU
Molecule: small RNA, 527 nt
Filed under: Arabidopsis thaliana (thale cress)
Lineage: Eukaryota; Viridiplantae; Streptophyta; Magnoliopsida; Brassicales; Brassicaceae
Description: ATSL158690
Source: RNAcentral